This 5325-nucleotide long non-coding RNA is filed under the name Sus scrofa (pig). Its description in RNAcentral is "lncRNA (ENSSSCG00060062390.1)". The record is from RNAcentral. Lineage: Eukaryota; Metazoa; Chordata; Mammalia; Artiodactyla; Suidae.
UGGGCUUAAGAAAAUCAUUCUAUUAUCCAAGAAUUCCAUAUCCAGUCAAGCUGAUACAUUUGCAAGAGAAAAGAAAAUACAGCAAAUAUUACCUGUGUAGAUUUCUAGAAAAAUUAUGAAAAGUGACAGUUCAUGGAGAUAAAAAUAAAAAUCAAAAACCUAAGAAGGAAGUGUUUUUGGAGCGGUUACCAUGUGCCAAACACCUUAAAUUUUUUAGUCCUCUCAAACAUUGCAGGUAAAAUCAAUAAUGAAUUUGGAAAAGGUAUGAUAUUUUACCUGCUAUAUAACAAGGCACUACGAAAAAAAAAUAAAGUGAAAUCUAAUGGAACAACAUAAAAUUGAUAAAAUGUAGUCACAGUAAGAAACAUUUACAUUUUUCUCAUCUUUAGUUAUUUUAGAAAAGAGGUUAGCAUAGAAAAUGAUUGACAUAUGCACAAUGUUAAUUUAGUAGAUAGAAAAUAUGAAAAUAAUAAUACAAUAGUAUAGAAAUAUGUAUAAAGUGGUUAAGGACAUUGCUUAAAGAGCAAUACCACCUGGCUACCAAAUGUGUUUCCCCCACUUACCCAGCUGGAUUUUGGUCACUAUACUUGCCAUCUUUCUGCCUCAAUUUUCUCAUUAGAAAGUGAAGGAUAAAACUAUGUGAUAAUUAAAUAAAUGCAUACAUAUAAAAUACUUAAAAUAGUACCCCAAACAUAAGUCCUCAAUUACUAUUAACUGCUAUAAAAAAUAUAAUACAUACAUACAGAAUUUGGCACUUUACUUGUAGAGAAUAUUCCUCCUUUCCAAAUAUAUUUGGGAUAUUUACAAAAAUAAUGAUAAUAUGCUACACAAUACUCAAUAAGUUAUUAAAGGUAGAAAUUGUAUAAACAACACUAAUGCACACAAAAAUCCUACAUUACCUUCCUGGAGUUCCUGUAGAGGCACAGCAGAAAUGAAUAUGACUAGUAUCCAUGAGGAUGCAGCUUCAAUCCCCGGCCUCAAUCAGUGGGUUGGGAGUCUGGCAUUGCCAUGAGCUGUGGUGUAGGUCCCAGACACAGCUCAGAUCUGGCAUCACUGUGGCUGUGGCAUAAGCCAUCAGCUACACCAGCUACAGCUCUGAUUCAACCCCUAACCUGAGAACUUCCAUAUGCAUUUGAGUGCAACCCAAAAAAUAAAUAAAUAAAAUAAAACACCUUCCUAAAUAACACUAAGUAAAAGAAGAAAUUGAAGUGCCUUUUAUAUUCUCUAGAAUGAUGUGUGUAUAUAUUAAAUCUGGAAUUCCCAUAGUGGCGCAGUGGUUAAUGAAUCCAACUAGGAACCAUGAGGUUGCAGGUUCAAUCCCUGGCCUUGCUCAGUGGGUUAAGGAUCCGGGGUUACUGUGAGCUGUGGUGUAGGUCACAGACAGACACGACUCAGAUCCCGUGUUGUUGUGGCUGUGGUGUAGGCCGGCAGCUGUACCUUCGAUUGGACCCCUAGCCUGGGAACCUCCAUAUGCCACGAGAAUCAGCCCUAGAAGAGUCAAAAAGCCAAAAAUAAAUAAAUAAAUAAAAAUACAUGUUAAAUCUAUGUAAUCAUAGUAAAACAAUAAAACAUUUAGAAUGCAACAAUCAAAAUCACCUUUGUAGCUUCAGAAUAAGCGAAGGUUUUUAAACAAGAAAUAAAAAUAUCUUUUUAAAGGAAAAAAAUUGAUGAACUAGAUGACAUUAAAAUUAAGAACUAUAGUCAUAAAAAAGAUAAUAUUGUGAAAAAACCUACAGAAGGAAGAAGAUAGGCAUAAUACACAUGUAACAAAAACCUCAUAUGCAGGAAAAAAAACUUUUAAAAAUCAAUAAGAAAUAGACAAAAAUUUGAACAGUUACUUCACAAAAUGAGAUACCUAAGUGGCCAAUAAACUAUGAAAAAAUACUAACUUUGUUAGUCAACAGAAAAAUACAAAUUAAAUCUAUAAUGAGAAACUGCUGCACACUUACCAGCAUGGCUGAAAUUACAAACAACAAUCAAUAAUAAAUUUAGCAAGGAUAUGGAGUAACCAAAUAUUCCAUCCAUUGCUGGUAAGAAUGAAAUUGGUACAACUAGUUUGGAAAACUGCCAGUAUCUACUAAUGCUGAAUACGUAUACUCCAGGUUUAUUCCCAACAGAAAUGCAUCCAUUUUUUCACCAAAACAUACCUGCUAGAGUGUUCAUAGCAGCACUAUUUAUGACACCCUAUAAUUAAAACUGACUCAAAUGUCCGGAAUGGAUAAACUAAUUGUGAUAUCUUCACAAAAUGAAAUAUUGUACAACAACAAGUAUUAAUGAAUUAUAACUACACAUGGCAAUAUAGCAGAAGCUCAUAAAUAACAAUGAGCCAAUGAUGUGACAUAGAAGACAGAAACAUACACAAUCCAUUUAUAUAACGUACAAAAAAGGAAAACUUAAUCUAUGCUAUUAAGCAUUAAGCUAUUAAUUCCUGGUAAGAGGGUUGCGACUAGAAGGGAAGGUUCUGGGAAUAUGGUAAAUUCUGUUUCUUUCUUUUUUUUUCCUUGGGCUUUUUAGGGCCACACCUGCAGCAUAUGGAUGUUCCCAGGCUAGGGGUUGAAUCAGAGCUGUAACCUCUGGCCUACACCACCGCCACAGCAAUGCCAGAUCCAAACCACAUCUGUGACCUACACCAUAGCUCAUGGCAAUGCUCGAUCCUUAACCCACUGAGCAAGGCCAGGAAUUGAACCCACAUCCUCAUAGAUACUAGUUGGGUUCUUAACCUGCUGAGCUACAACAGGAAUUCCCCUUAAAAUUAUCAUAAAAGAUAUUAUCCUGAAACAUCCAAACUAUGCACUUUCAAUGCUGUUACAUUAAUUUUUCUACUCAUGCCUUGGUACUGUUGCUGAACUGAAACUCUGACUGUCCAGUGCUGAAUAGAAAUGAGGAAACAGAGUUUUGGGUAAAGGAGAAAAAAAAAUAACUUUCAUUGCUUUGCCAGGCCAAGGAGGUCACAGCAGGCUAAUCCCCUAAAGAUUUUUCCCUCCUUUCCAAGAGAACAGGAGGUGGUUUUAUAGUUUGGAAUUGGAAAAUAGGGCCUCAGAUAAGGAUCAGGGUAGAUGCAGGCUUGUAUUCUUCUUUAAAGCUGGUGUUUAGUGGCCCCAGGACUGGUGAUUCUGGAAUGAAGAAGCCUUCAUCAAAUAGUUAAUAUCUUUCAUUAGGUGAGGGUUUUAGUUCUACAGAAGAGCUCAAAGAUAUUGCUAUCUAUAUUACUUGAGGAGGAACCAGGACACAACCCUAUUGUUUCUUGACUGUUCCUUGUUGCUGCAUCCUCUCCCUUCCUGGUUAGCAACUGUUUGAAUCUGCCCUUUGGAGCACAGAGAAAUUCAUGGAGACUAAAAGAGGCCUAUUUCCUACAGACAAGGAAAUGGGGGGACACAGAAAAGUUUUUAUGACCAGGAGCGCCACAGGGCCCUGCUCGGUUUCAGUACUACCCUUUUUAAAUUAUUGUAAUAGAUGAUUCCUUCCAUAUUUCUAAUAACUAAAUCUUUCAUCUCCUGUUUAGAAUGUUAUAAAGAGGAGCCAUACAAUAGAAACAUAAUGAAAGCCACAUGUAAGUAGUAAAAAUUGAACAAAUUAUAUUUAAUAAUAAUAAAUAAUAAUACCAUAUUGGUUAUAAUUAUAUUUUUAUAAAAACCAAUAUGUUUGAAAUAUUAUUCUAGCAUGUAAUCAAUCUAAAGAGAGAUAUUUGCAUUCUUUUUUUCAGACUAAAUUUUUAAAAUACGACGUAUAAAUUCUACUUACAGAGCAUUGCAAUUCAGAUUAGCCAUAUUCAGUUUCUCAGUGUGUAUUGAACAGCAUGGUUACAGAGAAUAUUUAAAGGUGGAAAUUUCUUAGAUUUAUUUUCUAAAGUAGUAGAAACAUGGUCUUAAAAAUUAAUAACAGCAAAAAAAAUCAUAGGUAAGUCUCAUUUAAGAAUGUAGAUGUAAAAAAUUACAAAGUAUUAGCAAAACAUUGAGAAUUACCUUAAAAUACAAACAUGUCAUUUAUGGCCAAGUAUGAUUAUUCCAGGAGCCUAAGAUGUAAUUCAAACUUGGACUCUAUUAAUGUUAUUUAUCAUAGACUGUGUAAAGGAAGAAAAAUUAUAUGAUCAGUUUGAUACCAGAAAUAUAUUUAGUUUAUAAAAUUUAGCUUCUGUUAUUUAUUAAAAAAAAAAAUCCUGGCAUUCCCUUUGUGGCAUAGGAGAAAUGAAUCUGACUAGUAUCUAUUAGGAUGCAAGUUCGAUCCUUGGCCUCGCACAGUAGGUCAAGAAUCUGGCCUUGCCGUGAGCUGUGGUGUAGGUUGCACAUACGGCUCAGAUCUUGUGUUGCUGUAGCUGUGGUGUAGGCUGCUUCAGCUUCAAUUCGACCCCUAGCCUGGGAAACUCCAUAUGCCAAAGUCAUGGCCCUAAAAAGCCAAAAAAAACCCAAAAAACCAACCCUCUUCUUAGCUAGCUUAGAUGGCUAAACAUGUUACAAACUACACAUUAGAAUUCAAAAGCUGAUAUCAAAGGUGAAAGUAAAAUACAAGUGUGAUUUUCAAUAAAGCCAAGUGUGACCUAAGAAUAGGAACAUCUUAAUGUUUAAAAGGUUCACUACAUAUUUUUUAAAUGUCAUUCUCCUCUCAUUUAUAAAUAUUUUGCUAGUGCCAUAGGUAUCAAAAUUAUUAAAGAUAUUGGUUGGAAAAACAAAAUAAGAGAGAAUGGUCAAGAGUUUUUGAGAAUGAGAUGUGGAUUGUUCUGCUAGGUAUUAAUAGAAAUAACAGAAAAAUAAGUAAAAUAGUGUAGAACAAGUAUAGGAAGAACAGCCAGAACAGUGAAACAAUGGAAAGUCCAGAAAGAUACUCAAAUAUUUACAGGAAUUUAAUACACAGUAAAAGAUACCUUUCAAUUCCAAUAGAGAAAAGAUGUUUCUUCAACAAAUGUUUGAAGAUUUAGGCACAAGAGUGUUUAUUGAAAUACUACACGUGUAAGAAAUAGGAAGAAACUAAAAUGACUAAGAUUUUGAAAUUUGUGAUAUAAAUUAUCAUAUAUUUAUGCAAUUAAAUAUAUUCAGCCAUUUUAAGUUGUACAUUAGAGGAAUAUUUAAAUCUAUAGCAAAAAAGUGUAUUAUAUAGUGUCAAUCAAAAAUGAAACAUUUUAUCCAAUAAAAAGUACUGUGUCUAUUUUUGUGUUCUUUCUGGCAGGUGAGAGAGAGAAGGAUCAGAAGAAUAUAAACUAAAAUAUUAACAUUAGUCACCUCCAUAUAGUAGAAUUCCAGUUCAUUUUUAUUUUCUGCAAGAAUUUUCCAUAUUUUAUGUAUGUUAACAUAAAAAUAUGUCACUUUUCUAAUAACUAAAAAAAAAAAAAAA